AUCCCGAUGGUGUAAUUGGUAACACUGCAGAUUCUGGUUCUGUUAUUGAGGGUUCAAGUCCUUCUCGGGAUG
Molecule: transfer RNA, 72 nt
Filed under: Spirochaetaceae bacterium 4572_59
Lineage: Bacteria; Pseudomonadati; Spirochaetota; Spirochaetia; Spirochaetales; Spirochaetaceae
Also listed under: 1 other name
Description: tRNA-Gln
Rfam family: tRNA
About the family: Transfer RNA (tRNA) molecules are approximately 80 nucleotides in length. Their secondary structure includes four short double-helical elements and three loops (D, anti-codon, and T loops). Further hydrogen bonds mediate the characteristic L-shaped molecular structure. tRNAs have two regions of fundamental functional importance: the anti-codon, which is responsible for specific mRNA codon recognition, and the 3' end, to which the tRNAs corresponding amino acid is attached (by aminoacyl-tRNA synthetases). tRNAs cope with the degeneracy of the genetic code in two manners: having more than one tRNA (with a specific anti-codon) for a particular amino acid; and 'wobble' base-pairing, i.e. permitting non-standard base-pairing at the 3rd anti-codon position.
Source: RNAcentral